UUUCAGUGGAGAGAGAAGCGUCUGUGGAACCAAGAGAGGAAAUGUGAGAUUCUGAGCCAUUUGUUUAUGUGUUUAGUUGCGCCAUAUGUUUGUCCCUGGCUCUAUCCUCAAGGUUUGCUGGAGUUUGGAUUUACUACUGAGUCAUAUUUGGAGCAUGCUGGAAUCUUACAACUGAGAUUACCGAGUCAGAAACUGAAAGACUACAUGAGGACAUAACAAGAAGAUGGUCAUCUACACGCCAGGGAGAGAAUUCUUACCAGAAACCAGCUGUGAUGAACUUUAGUCUGAGACUUUCCAGCCUCCAACACUCUCAGAAAAUGCAUUUCUGGUCCUUAAAACCCCUAGUCAGUGAUAUUUGUUGUGGUAGUCUGAGCAGACUAAGAAAUCCACUCUUUUGCCCUUUGCUAACUUCUACAGUUUAAUGUAAAUGCCAGUUUAAUUGUAUCAACCAAAAAUUUCCAUGGCUAUUUUUUUUAAACAUGUGUUUUCCAGUCUUAAUACAUUAAUACAAUUCAGAUUCUAUUAUGUGCUAAUUAAAUUUAGAUGAUUUAUAUGAUGGUCUUCUGAACUACUUCUCAAAUAAAAGUAGUACAUCCUCCUUAUUAGAGUUCUGCAUCAAUGAUGUCUUUUUAAUGCCAAAUAAAAUAUAUAUUUAUUCAAUUACUGCUGUAGAAAAAUUGUCAAGCUUUCUUCUAGUAAUACAAAAUUAGAUACUAAAAGUCCCUUAUUUAAGACCCAUGAGUUACAGAUAACAACCCAUCUAGUGAUAGAGGCCCAUUGCUUUCAGAAAUUUAAUUAAAAAUAAGUGGACAUCAUUGGUUCCAACUCCUACCUUCAUAUUUUUUUAAUACAAGUCAAUUAAAUCACUAGGUCAUAUUGGGAAUUAUAUCAUUUUUAAAACAACAUUAGACUUGUCAUCUAUAAGCUUCUGCCUGGACUCAGCUAACUAACUCUUCAAAUGUCCAAAGCUUUGCAUGAUUUCCUAGUAAAUUAGCCUGAAACAAUCUGUAAGAGACAAUAAGAGUAUGAUGUGAUUCUUCUUGUGAAAUCUGAUUUGAAGCUACACUUAGGAGAGAAAGUAGAGAAUGAGAAAAUUAUACAGAUGUUUCAAAAUCGUGUUGCAAAUUUCUGUAUGGAUUAGUUGAAAGAACAAUGGCCUUAAGAUUGACGAAUACAUUAACUUUUCUGAUUCUGCCACUAAAUAAAAAAGCCUUUGCCCUU
Homo sapiens (human) is the source of this 1221-nucleotide long non-coding RNA. Ensembl annotates it as long intergenic non-protein coding RNA 2055. Lineage: Eukaryota; Metazoa; Chordata; Mammalia; Primates; Hominidae. The record is from Ensembl.